This is a long non-coding RNA of Leopardus geoffroyi (Geoffroy's cat), 1185 nucleotides long. RefSeq lists it as uncharacterized. The transcript has 2 exons. The record is from RefSeq and is a predicted model, not a curated record. NCBI's taxonomy places the organism in Eukaryota, Metazoa, Chordata, Mammalia, Carnivora, Felidae.
CUUUUAAUGCGCCCGGGAUUAGAAAAGCCUGGCUUACUCCUAGACUAAUGUUCUUUUCCCUGCAAACGCUGCCUCUGAAGACACAACUAAGUCUUCCAGCACAAUAGAGAACACCUAAGGAGUGACCAGGCAGAGUUAUCAUGAAGAUUGCCCAAAAGCACUGACUCACCAAGACCCCUGGCUCCAAGGCAUAUGUGACCUACAGAAGACACCUCAACACUCAUCUUUGCUCCUGGAUGCCCGAGCAGACACACACACUGGACCACAAUCCUCAGUACAAACCCCAGGUCCCAAGCAAAGACGAGGCUCACCCUUCUUUCCUUUCUGAGUCUCCCAGACACUCUGUAUCUGCAUUCUCUCUAGGUCUUCAAUACCUUCUGCUCUCACUGCCUCUUGACUCAGGUUUGAUUUCUAUCCUGUGCAAAGCCAAGGACCCUCUUGAUGGGUCCUGCAAGAAUCCCUUCCGGGUCCUCGGACCCAGCCAGCCUGCAUGAUAUUGAUGCAGGUUUGGUUAAAUAAAUUAUGAUAUGGAAUAUUGUGAAGCCCUCAAAAUGAUGGCAUGUCUAUUGUUGACAAGGAAAGAUGUCCACAUUAUAGUAACUGGGGGAAACAAUUAGGUUACAGUAUAGUGAAUAGAGCUUUCAUAAGUCUGGAAACCAAAAAUGUUUAUAUUUAUCUCUGGGUGGUGACAAUAUAGAAUAUUUUUUUUUCAUUUUUGCUUACCUAUAUUUUCUAGUUUUUCUACUAGAGUAAUGAAAAAAGGCAGAUAAAAAUAAGCUCAUGAGACAGAAGAUUAGAAUAUGGCCUGACAGAGAAAACAUUUAAAUACAGUACUGUGGCAUUUUCAUUUACCGAGAAUUAUAUUUAUAGCUUACUUCAAAACAUGAAUACUUUGCAGCACAUUUCAAAUGUUAUUCUGUAAAAUUUAUAAUGAAAGACUAAAAGUGUGAUCACAGAUAUUGUUCCUUAAAAUUAAAAUUCAUAGUAGUUCUCUUUUCUCUGCAUGUGUCAUUGUCUUUGGUCAUACAUUUUCUCAAACCCAAGUGAAGAUUUUUCCUCAUUCGAAUGCCAGUUUUAGGGAGUACUCUGUGUUGUCUUGCUUUAUUUUUUAAAUUAGGAUUGGAAAACGUUUCGAUCAUUGUUCCACUUAAAAUUUCCAAUAAAAACAAUUUGAAGAAUGGGUAA